UUUGAAGAAAAGUGGGGGAAAAACUGACGGACACAAAAGCGCCCAUCAGUCGAGUGGUUGACCAUUUUUCUCUACCCGGAGAGAUUCAUUUCUUCCAUGGAUUCCGCCAUCUCUCUAAUGGCCUCCAAUUCCUUUCUCUCUACUCUCUCCACCAUCCCCCGCAGCUCCUUCACCUCCAUUUCCACUAUCUCAACUCUUUCUUUCCCGCUUCGAGCUGCUCUUCCUCCCAUACACCGUCGUCAGAAAUUCGUCUCCGUUUUUGCUUCAGGUAAUGGCAAUGGCGGCGUUCGAGGAGAGAGCGGCGGCGGAGGUGGUGGCGGCGAUGAUGGUGGACCAAACGGCAGCGAUGUCGACUCGAAAUUGCUUGCUGGAGAAGCUGACGACGAUGCCACGCUGUCUGCAGACGUCAUUGUUAUCGGUGUUGGAGGGAUGACGUGCAAGGGGUGUUGUGCGAGUGUCAAGAGGAUCCUUGAAAGUCAGCCACAAGUGUCACAUGCUAGUGUUGACCUUGCUUCUGAGACGGCAAUCGUGUGGCCUGUAGCUGAAGCAAAAAUCACACCCAACUGGAGGGAAGAGCUAGGAGUGGCACUUGCAAAGCAUUUGACUACUUGUGGUUUUUCUUCGAAGGUUCAAGUUCAAGAAUUCAGUUGAAGCUUCUUUGAACUACACAAUUUUGCGGCAGCUGAAUUGCAUAAAUUAAUUUCACUGAUGUCUUAUUGGACAAGGUGCUAUCGGAGGCGACGUUACAUUAUAGUAAUGCAAAAGUUCAAUGGGGCAAGUGAAUUUUAUGCUAUGUUAUGACACGACACGAAUUUCAAGUAGUUCUAUCUACUAACUUGAAUUGAACUCAACAAUAAGUGCAGAAGCCAAAGAACAAGACUCAAUUUGUUGCAUAUCAAUAUGUAUCAAUAAAGUGAUUAGUUGGAGACCCUUGAGACCGGAAAUCUUUUGUUGCAUACUGUGAAAAGAGUGACAUGUUUUCAGGUAUGGUAUAACUAGGAGUGUAGUCUUGGAAGUUGAUUACAAACUAUAGUUAGGGUUGUUUUUUUAUGUGCAAAGGACAUUAUUAGUUGCUGUUAUGCUCGUUGUUAAGAAUGUUAGCAUUUGAAAAGUUACCUUUUUCUAGAACAA
RNA transcript from Cucumis melo (muskmelon), 1131 nucleotides. It is a transcript of the gene named copper-transporting ATPase PAA1, chloroplastic-like, with no coding region annotated. Lineage: Eukaryota; Viridiplantae; Streptophyta; Magnoliopsida; Cucurbitales; Cucurbitaceae. The transcript has 5 exons. The record is from RefSeq and is a predicted model, not a curated record.